GACACUAUGGCCGAGUGGUUAAGGCGAGAGAUUUGAACUGCUCAUUAUCUCUUGGGCUAUGCCCGCACAGGUUCGAACCCUGUUGGUGUCG
Molecule: non-coding RNA, 91 nt
Organism: Heliocybe sulcata
Lineage: Eukaryota; Fungi; Basidiomycota; Agaricomycetes; Gloeophyllales; Gloeophyllaceae
Source: the annotation of a GenBank genome assembly